GCAGUCGUGGCCGAGGGGUUAAGGCGAUGGACAAGAAACCCGUUGGGGUCUCCCCGCACAGGUUCGAAUCCUGUCGACUGCU
Molecule: transfer RNA, 82 nt
Filed under: Ixodes scapularis (black-legged tick)
Lineage: Eukaryota; Metazoa; Arthropoda; Arachnida; Ixodida; Ixodidae
Rfam family: tRNA
About the family: Transfer RNA (tRNA) molecules are approximately 80 nucleotides in length.
Source: Rfam by way of RNAcentral